RNAcentral lists this ribosomal RNA (1365 nucleotides) under Staphylococcus aureus. Its description in RNAcentral is "bacterial LSU rRNA". It matches the Rfam family "Bacterial large subunit ribosomal RNA", at positions 49 to 1416 of the family's 2925-position model. The record is from RNAcentral. Lineage: Bacteria; Bacillati; Bacillota; Bacilli; Caryophanales; Staphylococcaceae.
AUGAAGGACGUUACUAACGACGAUAUGCUUUGGGGAGCUGUAAGUAAGCUUUGAUCCAGAGAUUUCCGAAUGGGGAAACCCAGCAUGAGUUAUGUCAUGUUAUCGAUAUGUGAAUACAUAGCAUAUCAGAAGGCACACCCGGAGAACUGAAACAUCUUAGUACCCGGAGGAAGAGAAAGAAAAUUCGAUUCCCUUAGUAGCGGCGAGCGAAACGGGAAGAGCCCAAACCAACAAGCUUGCUUGUUGGGGUUGUAGGACACUCUAUACGGAGUUACAAAGGACGACAUUAGACGAAUCAUCUGGAAAGAUGAAUCAAAGAAGGUAAUAAUCCUGUAGUCGAAAAUGUUGUCUCUCUUGAGUGGAUCCUGAGUACGACGGAGCACGUGAAAUUCCGUCGGAAUCUGGGAGGACCAUCUCCUAAGGCUAAAUACUCUCUAGUGACCGAUAGUGAACCAGUACCGUGAGGGAAAGGUGAAAAGCACCCCGGAAGGGGAGUGAAAUAGAACCUGAAACCGUGUGCUUACAAGUAGUCAGAGCCCGUUAAUGGGUGAUGGCGUGCCUUUUGUAGAAUGAACCGGCGAGUUACGAUUUGAUGCAAGGUUAAGCAGUAAAUGUGGAGCCGUAGCGAAAGCGAGUCUGAAUAGGGCGUUUAGUAUUUGGUCGUAGACCCGAAACCAGGUGAUCUACCCUUGGUCAGGUUGAAGUUCAGGUAACACUGAAUGGAGGACCGAACCGACUUACGUUGAAAAGUGAGCGGAUGAACUGAGGGUAGCGGAGAAAUUCCAAUCGAACCUGGAGAUAGCUGGUUCUCUCCGAAAUAGCUUUAGGGCUAGCCUCAAGUGAUGAUUAUUGGAGGUAGAGCACUGUUUGGACGAGGGGCCCCUCUCGGGUUACCGAAUUCAGACAAACUCCGAAUGCCAAUUAAUUUAACUUGGGAGUCAGAACAUGGGUGAUAAGGUCCGUGUUCGAAAGGGAAACAGCCCAGACCACCAGCUAAGGUCCCAAAAUAUAUGUUAAGUGGAAAAGGAUGUGGCGUUGCCCAGACAACUAGGAUGUUGGCUUAGAAGCAGCCAUCAUUUAAAGAGUGCGUAAUAGCUCACUAGUCGAGUGACACUGCGCCGAAAAUGUACCGGGGCUAAACAUAUUACCGAAGCUGUGGAUUGUCCUUUGGACAAUGGUAGGAGAGCGUUCUAAGGGCGUUGAAGCAUGAUCGUAAGGACAUGUGGAGCGCUUAGAAGUGAGAAUGCCGGUGUGAGUAGCGAAAGACGGGUGAGAAUCCCGUCCACCGAUUGACUAAGGUUUCCAGAGGAAGGCUCGUCCGCUCUGGGUUAGUCGGGUCCUAAGCUGAGGCCGACAGGCGUAGGC